This 840-nucleotide long non-coding RNA is filed under the name Olea europaea subsp. europaea. The record is from RNAcentral. Lineage: Eukaryota; Viridiplantae; Streptophyta; Magnoliopsida; Lamiales; Oleaceae.
CUCAAAAUUACUUCUUGAGAACAAAAAUGAAAUUACGAGUAAACCAUGAAACUUUUCUAAUGGUUAAAAACCUAGUUGGUCACUAAACAUCAAAUAAUUUUUGUUGGGUGUGGAAAAUUAGAAAAAAAUAAAUAAAUAAAAUAAAAUGGGAACACACUAGAAAUUAUUCUCCUAAAAAGACAUUCUUUGACUUAUUUUUAGCAUGGGAUAAAAGUGUAAAUUAAACAUAAGAUAAUAUUAAAUUAAAAGUAUGCAGGGAUGGCAGGAAGUUGAGGCUCAGAUCAGAUCUAUUGGAUUGAAGAGGCAAGGAGAAUAUGACCGCGCCAUGGCUGCAUAAUCACCGGUGGCAUAAAAUCAGAUGCCAUCCCGGUUGCCCCGCCAAGAUACGGGUCAGUUCAUCUCAAAGCCCGAUUCAUCAGCUCAGAAGAAUCAAAAUCAUCGUCAUAGCCUCUGCAAAAUCAGAUCGAUACAGUUUCGGAACUCUCUCGCUGAUAUAUAGAGAGAUCUCCGCUCUCUCAGUGUGUGUGUAUGUAUGUAGUAUGAAUUAUGGUGGAAUCGAAUCCAAGAACAAAAGGGUAAUUAUAUAUAUUUCCGCUUGCAUCAGAUAACAUUGGCUGUUUCUAAUUUCUCAAGGGCUGUUGAUAUUUACAGGAUGGAAAUCAUCGGUUUCACAGAGAGGGGCAACCACCCUUAAAGAAUUCCCAGUCUCUCUGUAAACCUCAUUCUUCACUCCCAAGCACCAAGCCCUGGAUUCUGGUUUACCUCUUAAUUUAUAGUACAGCGCUGUUCCCAAUUUAUCCCUUCUUUGUGUUCCAUUUUGCAGACCAGGAGAAUACUUGG